GACGUAGGUGGCGAACGUUAUCCGGAAUUAUUGGGCGUAAAGGAUGCGUAGAUGGCGUAGUAAGUUAUCGGUGGUAAAUCGAGGCUCAACCUCGUGGAAGUCGGUAAUACUGUUAUGCUAGAGGAUAGGAGAGGUUAACGGAACUCCCUGUGGAGCGGUGAAAUGCGUAGAGAUCCGGAGGAACACCAAAGGCGAAGGCAGUGUCCUGGGGAGUACCUGACGCUCAGGUGCGAAAGCCAGGGGAGCGAACAGG
Molecule: ribosomal RNA, 253 nt
Filed under: uncultured bacterium
Lineage: Bacteria
Description: partial 16S ribosomal RNA
Rfam family: Bacterial small subunit ribosomal RNA
Source: RNAcentral